CUACGGGAUGCUCCAGCUAGGAAUUUUCUGCAAUGCACGCAAGUGUGACAGAGCGAGCCAGAGUGCUUAUCCGUAUUGGAUAAGCUUUUGUGAAGUGUAAAAAGUUUCACGAAUAAGGACCGGGCAAGACUGGUGCCAGCCGCCGCGGUAAUACCAGCGGUCCAAGUCGCAGCCACUUUUAUUGGGUCUAAAACAUCCGUAGCUUGUUUUGUAAGUCUCUUGUGAAAUCUGGCAUCUUAAGUGUCAGGCUUGCAAGAGAUACUGCAAGGCUAGAGACCGGGAGACGUAACGAGUACGAUUAGGGUAGCGGUAAAAUGCGUUGAUCCUUAUUGGACUAACAACAGCGAAGGCACGUUACGAGAACGGAUCUGACAGUGAGGGAUGAAGGCUAGGGGCGCAAAACGGAUUAGAUACCCGCGUAGUC
Molecule: ribosomal RNA, 424 nt
Filed under: uncultured archaeon
Lineage: Archaea
Description: partial 16S ribosomal RNA
Rfam family: Archaeal small subunit ribosomal RNA
Source: RNAcentral